AGCAAAAUGAUGAGUCUAUGCCUCUGAAUUUCAUGUAGAUGCACACCAUGUAAUGGUCUUCAAAGUUCUCUGAUUGCU
Molecule: small nucleolar RNA, 78 nt
Organism: Macadamia integrifolia
Lineage: Eukaryota; Viridiplantae; Streptophyta; Magnoliopsida; Proteales; Proteaceae
Product: small nucleolar RNA R160
Exons: 1
Source: RefSeq, a predicted model, not a curated record